RNAcentral lists this ribosomal RNA (492 nucleotides) under uncultured bacterium. Its description in RNAcentral is "partial 16S ribosomal RNA". It matches the Rfam family "Bacterial small subunit ribosomal RNA", at positions 29 to 507 of the family's 1533-position model. The record is from RNAcentral.
AGUGAACGCUGGCGGUAGGCCUAACACAUGCAAGUCGAACGGCAGCACAGUAAGAGCUUGCUCUUACGGGUGGCGAGUGGCGGACGGGUGAGGAAUACAUCGGAAUCUACUUUUUCGUGGGGGGUAACGUAGGGAAACUUACGCUAAUACCGCAUACGACCUACGGGUGAAAGCAGGGGAUCUUCGGACCUUGCGCGAUUGAAUGAGCCGAUGUCGGAUUAGCUAGUUGGCGGGGUAAAGGCCCACCAAGGCGACGAUCCGUAGCUGGUCUGAGAGGAUGAUCGGCCACACUGGAACUGAGACACGGUCCAGACUCCUACGGGAGGCAGCAGUGGGGAAUAUUGGACAAUGGGCGCAAGCCUGAUCCAGCCAUACCGCGUGGGUGAAGAAGGCCUUCGGGUUGUAAAGCCCUUUUGUUGGGAAAGAAAAGCAGCAGGUUAAUACCCCGCUGUUCUGACGGUACCCAAAGAAUAAGCACCGGCUAACUUCGUG